AAAUUGAAGAGUUUGAUCAUGGCUCAGAUUGAACGCUGGCGGCAGGCCUAACACAUGCAAGUCGAGCGGUAGCACAGAGAGCUUGCUCUCGGGUGACGAGCGGCGGACGGGUGAGUAAUGUCUGGGAAACUGCCUGAUGGAGGGGGAUAACUACUGGAAACGGUAGCUAAUACCGCAUAACGUCGCAAGACCAAAGUGGGGGACCUUCGGGCCUCAUGCCAUCAGAUGUGCCCAGAUGGGAUUAGCUAGUAGGUGGGGUAAUGGCUCACCUAGGCGACGAUCCCUAGCUGGUCUGAGAGGAUGACCAGCCACACUGGAACUGAGACACGGUCCAGACUCCUACGGGAGGCAGCAGUGGGGAAUAUUGCACAAUGGGCGCAAGCCUGAUGCAGCCAUGCCGCGUGUAUGAAGAAGGCCUUCGGGUUGUAAAGUACUUUCAGCGAGGAGGAAGGCAUUAAGGUUAAUAACCUUAGUGAUUGACGUUACUCGCAGAAGAAGCACCGGCUAACUCCGUGCCAGCAGCCGCGGUAAUACGGAGGGUGCAAGCGUUAAUCGGAAUUACUGGGCGUAAAGCGCACGCAGGCGGUCUGUUAAGUCAGAUGUGAAAUCCCCGGGCUCAACCUGGGAACUGCAUUUGAAACUGGCAGGCUUGAGUCUUGUAGAGGGGGUAGAAUUCCAGGUGUAGCGGUGAAAUGCGUAGAGAUCUGGAGGAAUACCGGUGGCGAAGGCGGCCCCCUGGACAAAGACUGACGCUCAGGUGCGAAAGCGUGGGGAGCAAACAGGAUUAGAUACCCUGGUAGUCCACGCUGUAAACGAUGUCGACUUGGAGGUUGUUCCCUUGAGGAGUGGCUUCCGGAGCUAACGCGUUAAGUCGACCGCCUGGGGAGUACGGCCGCAAGGUUAAAACUCAAAUGAAUUGACGGGGGCCCGCACAAGCGGUGGAGCAUGUGGUUUAAUUCGAUGCAACGCGAAGAACCUUACCUACUCUUGACAUCCAGAGAACUUAGCAGAGAUGCUUUGGUGCCUUCGGGAACUCUGAGACAGGUGCUGCAUGGCUGUCGUCAGCUCGUGUUGUGAAAUGUUGGGUUAAGUCCCGCAACGAGCGCAACCCUUAUCCUUUGUUGCCAGCGGUCCGGCCGGGAACUCAAAGGAGACUGCCAGUGAUAAACUGGAGGAAGGUGGGGAUGACGUCAAGUCAUCAUGGCCCUUACGAGUAGGGCUACACACGUGCUACAAUGGCAUAUACAAAGAGAAGCGACCUCGCGAGAGCAAGCGGACCUCAUAAAGUAUGUCGUAGUCCGGAUUGGAGUCUGCAACUCGACUCCAUGAAGUCGGAAUCGCUAGUAAUCGUAGAUCAGAAUGCUACGGUGAAUACGUUCCCGGGCCUUGUACACACCGCCCGUCACACCAUGGGAGUGGGUUGCAAAAGAAGUAGGUAGCUUAACCUUCGGGAGGGCGCUUACCACUUUGUGAUUCAUGACUGGGGUGAAGUCGUAACAAGGUAACCGUAGGGGAACCUGCGGUUGGAUCACCUCCUUA
RNAcentral lists this ribosomal RNA (1539 nucleotides) under Klebsiella ornithinolytica. RNAcentral describes it as "bacterial SSU rRNA". It matches the Rfam family "Bacterial small subunit ribosomal RNA". The record is from RNAcentral. Lineage: Bacteria; Pseudomonadati; Pseudomonadota; Gammaproteobacteria; Enterobacterales; Enterobacteriaceae.